GAUGAACGCUGGCGGCAUGCUUAAUACAUGUAAGUCGAACGAAGUGCUUUUGUCUUCGGAUGAGAGUAUCUUAGUGGCGAACGGGUGAGUAACGCGUUGGUGACCUGCCCCGAAGAGGGGGAUAACAGUUCGAAAGGACUGCUAAUACCCCGUGUUGUCACCGGGAUUAGAUGCCUGGUGACCAAAGGAGUAAUCCGCUUUGGGAGGGACCUGCGUCCCAUCAGCUAGUUGGUAGGGUAACGGCCUACCAAGGCUAUGACGGGUAGGGGCCUGAGAGGGUGAUCCCCCA
RNAcentral lists this ribosomal RNA (289 nucleotides) under uncultured Chloroflexota bacterium. Its description in RNAcentral is "uncultured Chloroflexi bacterium partial 16S ribosomal RNA". It matches the Rfam family "Bacterial small subunit ribosomal RNA", at positions 28 to 310 of the family's 1533-position model. The record is from RNAcentral. Lineage: Bacteria; Bacillati; Chloroflexota.